Molecule: ribosomal RNA, 1057 nt
Filed under: Nocardiopsis alba
Lineage: Bacteria; Bacillati; Actinomycetota; Actinomycetes; Streptosporangiales; Nocardiopsidaceae
Description: bacterial SSU rRNA
Rfam family: Bacterial small subunit ribosomal RNA
Source: RNAcentral
GACCGGGCACACUGGGACUGAGACACGGCCCAGACUCCUGCGGGAGGCAGCAGUGGGGAAUAUUGCGCAAUGGGCGAAAGCCUGACGCAGCGACGCCGCGUGGGGGAUGACGGCCUUCGGGUUGUAAACCUCUUUUACCACCAACGCAGGCUCCGGGUUCUCUCGGGGUUGACGGUAGGUGGGGAAUAAGGACCGGCUAACUACGUGCCAGCAGCCGCGGUAAUACGUAGGGUCCGAGCGUUGUCCGGAAUUAUUGGGCGUAAAGAGCUCGUAGGCGGCGUGUCGCGUCUGCUGUGAAAGACCGGGGCUUAACUCCGGUUCUGCAGUGGAUACGGGCAUGCUAGAGGUAGGUAGGGGAGACUGGAAUUCCUGGUGUAGCGGUGAAAUGCGCAGAUAUCAGGAGGAACACCGGUGGCGAAGGCGGGUCUCUGGGCCUUACCUGACGCUGAGGAGCGAAAGCAUGGGGAGCGAACAGGAUUAGAUACCCUGGUAGUCCAUGCCGUAAACGUUGGGCGCUAGGUGUGGGGACUUUCCACGGUUUCCGCGCCGUAGCUAACGCAUUAAGCGCCCCGCCUGGGGAGUACGGCCGCAAGGCUAAAACUCAAAGGAAUUGACGGGGGCCCGCACAAGCGGCGGAGCAUGUUGCUUAAUUCGACGCAACGCGAAGAACCUUACCAAGGUUUGACAUCACCCGUGGACCUGUAGAGAUACAGGGUCAUUUAGUUGGUGGGUGACAGGUGGUGCAUGGCUGUCGUCAGCUCGUGUCGUGAGAUGUUGGGUUAAGUCCCGCAACGAGCGCAACCCUUGUUCCAUGUUGCCAGCACGUAAUGGUGGGGACUCAUGGGAGACUGCCGGGGUCAACUCGGAGGAAGGUGGGGACGACGUCAAGUCAUCAUGCCCCUUAUGUCUUGGGCUGCAAACAUGCUACAAUGGCCGGUACAAUGGGCGUGCGAUACCGUAAGGUGGAGCGAAUCCCUUAAAGCCGGUCUCAGUUCGGAUUGGGGUCUGCAACUCGACCCCAUGAAGGUGGAGUCGCUAGUAAUCGCGGAUUCAGCAA